RNAcentral lists this ribosomal RNA (465 nucleotides) under Vreelandella stevensii. Its description in RNAcentral is "partial 16S ribosomal RNA". It matches the Rfam family "Bacterial small subunit ribosomal RNA", at positions 338 to 795 of the family's 1533-position model. The record is from RNAcentral. Lineage: Bacteria; Pseudomonadati; Pseudomonadota; Gammaproteobacteria; Oceanospirillales; Halomonadaceae.
CCUACGGGCGGCUGCAGUGGGGAAUAUUGGACAAUGGGGGCAACCCUGAUCCAGCCAUGCCGCGUGUGUGAAGAAGGCCCUCGGGUUGUAAAGCACUUUCAGUGAGGAAGAACGCCUGGUGGUUAAUACCCAUCAGGAAAGACAUCACUCACAGAAGAAGCACCGGCUAACUCCGUGCCAGCAGCCGCGGUAAUACGGAGGGUGCGAGCGUUAAUCGGAAUUACUGGGCGUAAAGCGCGCGUAGGUGGCUUGAUAAGCCGGUUGUGAAAGCCCCGGGCUCAACCUGGGAACGGCAUCCGGAACUGUCAAGCUAGAGUGCAGGAGAGGAAGGUAGAAUUCCCGGUGUAGCGGUGAAAUGCGUAGAGAGCGGGAGGAAUACCAGUGGCGAAGGCGGCCUUCUGGACUGACACUGACACUGAGGUGCGAAAGCGUGGGUAGCAAACAGGAUUAGAUACCCGAGUAGUC